AUACGUAGGGGGCUAGCGUUAUCCGGAAUUACUGGGCGUAAAGGGUGCGUAGGUGGUUUCUUAAGUCAGAAGUGAAAGGCUACGGCUCAACCGUAGUAAGCUUUUGAAACUAAGAGACUUGAGUGCAGGAGAGGAGAGUAGAAUUCCUAGUGUAGCGGUGAAAUGCGUAGAUAUUAGGAGGAAUACCAGUUGCGAAGGCGGCUCUGUGGACUGAAUGAGACUCAGAGGCGCGAGAGCGUGGGGAGAAAAGGGGUAUAGAUACCGGUAUAGCCCGCGGCGUAAGCGGUGAGUACUAGGUGGCGGGGGUUACGCCCCUCGGUGGCGCAGCUAACGCAUUAAGUACUCCGCCUGGGGAGUACGCUCGCAAGAGUGAAACUCAAAGGAAUUGACGGGG
RNAcentral lists this ribosomal RNA (394 nucleotides) under uncultured bacterium. RNAcentral's name for it is "partial 16S ribosomal RNA". It matches the Rfam family "Bacterial small subunit ribosomal RNA", at positions 523 to 918 of the family's 1533-position model. The record is from RNAcentral.